Molecule: long non-coding RNA, 885 nt
Organism: Lycium barbarum (goji berry)
Lineage: Eukaryota; Viridiplantae; Streptophyta; Magnoliopsida; Solanales; Solanaceae
Exons: 2
Source: RefSeq, a predicted model, not a curated record
CUAAUCUACCAAGUUUCACAUUUUUUCGGAUUUAUUUGAUUAGAGUUUUGAGUGACUGAAAUGGCAGAACAAUGCAAAGAUAAAGCAAAAAAUUGCUUCUGGAAAUUAAAAGAGCACACAAGUGAGGCAAUGUGCAUUGUGAGUAGGCCCAGGUAAGUUUCUAAAACUUUUACACUUAUGCCUAAAUAACAGCCCUUUCCCUUAUUUCCUACAACUGGUAAAAAAAAAAAAAAAAAAAAAAAAAGGAUGCUCUCGCCACUCCUCACACCCAUCACAACCGCAGGGCACCAGCGUCCAGGGAGAAAGACAAAAUCCAUAUGAUUCUACGACGUGCUGGGUGCUUAUUCUUUGAUUCUAUGUUCUUUUUCGGAAAUGCCUUAGCACAUAAAUGGUUAUGGGAAUCUGAAUUUGUGACUGAUUGAUAAGAAGUGUUUUACUGAGAAGGGUGAUUUGUGUGUGGUGUUCCUGCAUUCCUUGAAUUGAAAAUGAUUUGUGCAAGCUAAAAAAGGAAGUGGUUCACCUGGAAAAACACUUGUCCAGUUUUGUUGGAGAAGGAAAUAGCCUGAAGCUAUUCUGAAAAAAAAAAUUGAUUCAUCCUGAAACAGCAAGAAGGAGCCUCGCUAACAGAAGUUCGAAUGCGGGGUACUUUUUGUUGUUCAAUGAUUUCUAGUUCAUCCAGAAAAGCUCAAGGAGACAAGUAACAACUUCCUUACCCUUAUGAUCGAGAUUCGUGACACCAUUUUUUUUCCAGGGGUCCCUCCUAACUUUUGCUUUAAUUAUGAAGUUACAUUGAGGACAAUGCAACAUUUUAAGUUAGGGGAGGCUUUGUUUGAUGGAUAUUUUUGUGAUGGGAUGUGAUAUGUCAUGAUGGAUGAUAAUUUAUUA